AUGGGUCCCAGAAAUAAGAAUGGGGAAGGACUAGGUGCCCUGGGGAGAGCCAUACUUGGACCCUGUGUUCUAGGAAACCCAUUGGCUGUAUUCAGUACAAGCUGCCUCUGUAUGAGGGAGAGGACCCUGGUAUGUUCCUCACAUGUGAGUAUCUGGGUUCCAAUUCUUAUUUCAGUAAAGGCCCAGCGGGAGAUGGACUUCUCACAUGGCUAUGUUGUCCACAGGGUGGAGGCAUGUCAUCUACAUCUAUAUCCUGCCUGGGAAGGAGUCUGCCAUUGCCUACUUCAGGGGCAAAAUGAACUAUCAGUAUUACCAGAUGAUGAUGCUCAUGGGCCGCACCCUGAAAACCAACCUAGAUGCUCUGAGGGCCUUCAAGACGUUUAUGAUGAGUAAAAUGGGGAAAAAAGCCAAGACAAAGACGCCUCCCCACGCUGAAGCCUGUGAAUUGCCCAGAGAUUCCUAACACAGGAGCAGCACCUCAGAGACUGUGUAGCAGCAGGAGUGGGGAUCCUCCAUGCACCUCCAUCUUGGCCAGAACACAGUGUGGAGAAAGGAAAAGGUGGGGCCAAGUGCCCACAUCUCUUCCAAACAGGUCUCUGCCUUAAUAAAUAUGGUCAAUGUCUCCA
Molecule: long non-coding RNA, 626 nt
Filed under: Mus spicilegus (steppe mouse)
Lineage: Eukaryota; Metazoa; Chordata; Mammalia; Rodentia; Muridae
Description: lncRNA (ENSMSIG00000028299.1)
Source: RNAcentral